UCAAUAAGCGGAGGAAAAGAAACUAACGAGGAUUCCCCUAGUAACGGCGAGUGAAGCGGGAACAGCUCAAAUUUGUAAUCUGGCGGCCCCCCCAGGCCGUCCGAGUUGUAAUCUGGAGAAGCGUUUUCAGUGCCGGCCCGCGUACAAGUCCCCUGGAACGGGGCGUCGCAGAGGGUGAGAAUCCCGUCUCUGACGCGGCCUGCCGGCGCGCUGCGAUGCGCUCUCGAAGAGUCGAGUUGUUUGGGAAUGCAGCUCAAAACGGGUGGUAAAUUCCAUCUAAAGCUAAAUACUGGCGAAAGACCGAUAGCGAACAAGUACCGUGAGGGAAAGGUGAAAAGCACUUUGGAAAGAGAGUCAAACAGUACGUGAAAUUGUUGAAAGGGAAACGCUCGGAGUCAGUCGCGUCUCCCGGGACUCAGUCGCGCUCGGGCGCGGCGUACUUCCCGGGUCAGGACGGGCCAGCGUCGAUUUCGACCGUCGUAAAAAGGCGAGAGGAACGUGGCACCUUCGGGUGUGUUAUAGCCUCGCGUCCGCAUGCGACGGUGGGGGAUCGAGGGAUGCAGCGUGCCCCCCCUUUCGAGAGGGGGCCGGGGUUCGCCCACGUAACGCGCUUAGGAUGCUGGCUUAAUGGCUUCGAGCGACCCGUCUUGAA
RNAcentral lists this ribosomal RNA (652 nucleotides) under Itajahya galericulata. RNAcentral describes it as "Phallus galericulatus partial large subunit ribosomal RNA". It matches the Rfam family "Eukaryotic large subunit ribosomal RNA", at positions 43 to 658 of the family's 3401-position model. Lineage: Eukaryota; Fungi; Basidiomycota; Agaricomycetes; Phallales; Phallaceae. The record is from RNAcentral.